RNAcentral lists this long non-coding RNA (571 nucleotides) under Homo sapiens (human). Its description in RNAcentral is "non-protein coding lnc-KIAA0100-1:3". The record is from RNAcentral. Lineage: Eukaryota; Metazoa; Chordata; Mammalia; Primates; Hominidae.
AGAGAGAGGAGGCAGAGGCUGGGAAUGGGAGCAGUAAGCUGUCGGCAGGGGCAGCACACCCAGCAGGGGGAACACACCCGGGUGGCUGUCCCUCACAAGCAGGGUGGCAACAUCCGGGGUCCCUGGGCCCGAGGCUGGAAGAGCCUCUGGACAGGUUUGGGAACCAUCAGGUCAGAUCUGGAAGAACUCUGGGAACUACGGGGGCACCACUAUCUGCACCAGGAAUCCCUAAAGCCAGCCCCAGUACUGGUAGAGAAGCCUCUGCCAGAGUGGCCAGUGCCUCAGUUCAUCAACCUCUUUCUACCAGAGUUUCCCAUUAGGCCCAUUAGGGGGCAGCAGCAGCUGAAGAUUUUAGGCCUCGUGGCUAAAGGCUCCUUUGGAACUGUCCUCAAGGUGCUAGAUUGCACCCAGAAAGCUGUAUUUGCAGUGAAGGUGGUGCCCAAGGUAAAGGUCCUACAGAGGGAUACCGUGAGGCAGUGCAAAGAGGAGGUUAGCAUCCAGCUGGGGUGUAUACAUGAUGAAAGAGAGUUGAAAGGAAGAGGAAGAAUUACUUCUCACCUGUGAUCUUUCA